GCCUUCGUGGUGUAGUGGUCAGCAUGCUUAACCCGUAUUCGAAAGGUCCGUGGUUCGAGUCCCGGCGAUGGCA
Molecule: transfer RNA, 73 nt
Filed under: Stegodyphus mimosarum
Lineage: Eukaryota; Metazoa; Arthropoda; Arachnida; Araneae; Eresidae
Rfam family: tRNA
About the family: Transfer RNA (tRNA) molecules are approximately 80 nucleotides in length. Their secondary structure includes four short double-helical elements and three loops (D, anti-codon, and T loops).
Source: Rfam by way of RNAcentral